AACAACCCCACCCCCUGCGGCGCCACCCAGCUGGGAGCGGAGAGAGACUGACAGCGGAGGCGGGGGUCAGGGCGGGGACCCGGACCCCAGCCCCAUCGGGGACAGAGUCCAAAAAUAGCUCGCGUCCUUGGUGUUCGCCUUGUCGCAGGAGCCUCGCCAUCGCGCAAUCUGCACUCGCCCCUCUGCAGAUCUAAGGCCAGACCUGGGCCACCCUAACUUCUCGGUAUCUCCUAUUUCUACAAACCGGCCGGGUAGAGGAUGCAGCCGGGCGUGGUGGCUACAAGAAAGUGCCCUGGUGUUAAGAACUCAGCCUCUGAAACCUGCCGCCCAGCUUCGAGUCAGCGACGUACUUUUGUUGUCCCGGCCUUAGUAUCCCCGCUGCAAUAAGAGAUUUUUCUUUGUGUUUGAUGAAUGCGUGCUACUUUAGGAAUCUAGUGACUUUUGAACAAAGGAAAAAGGAGAGUGAUCGAGAAAAAAAGAGAGACUGAGAUUGACUCAUGACAUUUUCAAAACUGCUUUGGCUCCUUGAGUGUAAGCUCCUAAAGGCAGAAAUCAAGCUGACCUAAGCAAAGACCUGAAGGGGCUAUGAGGACAUCUGGCAGAAGAGGUAAUGCUACGGGUAAGGAAUUGUACAAACACAUGAGAAAUAUCCACAGAAAGCACAGCACCUGGG
This 673-nucleotide long non-coding RNA is filed under the name Pan troglodytes (chimpanzee). RNAcentral describes it as "long non-coding RNA NONPTRT016999". Lineage: Eukaryota; Metazoa; Chordata; Mammalia; Primates; Hominidae. The record is from RNAcentral.